RNAcentral lists this ribosomal RNA (406 nucleotides) under Hierophis viridiflavus (green whip snake). RNAcentral describes it as "partial 16S ribosomal RNA". It matches the Rfam family "Bacterial large subunit ribosomal RNA", at positions 1969 to 2589 of the family's 2925-position model. The record is from RNAcentral. Lineage: Eukaryota; Metazoa; Chordata; Lepidosauria; Squamata; Colubridae.
UUGUCUACUAAUUAUAGACCAGUAUGAAAGGCAAAAUGAGGGUCUAACUGUCUCUUAUAAUAAAUCAAUGAAACUGAUCUCCUAGUAAAAAAGCUAGAAUACACCCAUAAGACCAGAAGACCCUGUGAAGCUUAAAUUAAACUAUUAAAACAUAUAAUAGCUACUUUCGGUUGGGGCGACCUUGGAAAAAAAAAGAACUUCCAAAUAACGUGACCCUACAUCACGCAACUUAGGCCUACAAGCCAACAACGACCCAGCAUGGCUGAAAAAUGAACCAAGUUACUCCAGGGAUAACAGCGCAAUCUUCUUCAAGAGCCCAUAUCAAAAAGAAGGUUUACGACCUCGAUGUUGGAUCAGGACAUCCUAAUGGUGCAGCCGCUAUUAAGGGUUCGUUUGUUCAACGAUU